CAAAAGGUUCUUUUCAGAACCAAUUUUUUAGUCCAAAGGGAUUUAG
This is a non-coding RNA of Stegodyphus mimosarum, 46 nucleotides long. The record is from Rfam. NCBI's taxonomy places the organism in Eukaryota, Metazoa, Arthropoda, Arachnida, Araneae, Eresidae.